CUUUAUGUAGUGUUGUCUUAGGUCUCUCUUUAUGUAGUGUUGUGUUGUCUUAGGUCUCUCUUUAUGUAGUGUUGUGGUGUCUCUCUUUAUGUAGUGUUGUGUUGUCUUAGGUCUCUCUUUAUGUAGUGUUGUGUUGUCUUAGGUCUCUCUUUAUGUAGUGUUGUCUUAGGUCUCUCUUUAUGUAGUGUUGUCUUAGGUCUCUCUUUAUGUAGUGUUGUCUUAGGUCUCUCUUUAUGUAGUGUUGUGGUGUCUCUCUUUAUGUAGUGUUGUGCUGUCUUAGGUCUCUCUUUAUAUAGUGUUGUCUUAGGUCUCUCUUUAUGUAGUGUUGUGGUGUCUCUCUUUAUGUAGUGUUGUCUUAGGUCUCUCUUUAUGUAGUGUUGUGG
This is a long non-coding RNA of Oncorhynchus tshawytscha (Chinook salmon), 383 nucleotides long. NCBI's taxonomy places the organism in Eukaryota, Metazoa, Chordata, Actinopteri, Salmoniformes, Salmonidae. The record is from Ensembl.